AUAAGAGAUAGCAAGAAGGCAAGCUAAAACAAACCAGCUAAGCAUAAGGUGAAGGGUAGAUAAAAUACAACGGUGAAGUUAAAAGAGAAACAGAGAUGAACAAGCGAAGGUUCUCUACACACUCCCUUAUCUUGGUGACUGUGCUAGCAGUUCUAAUUGUUCUUGCUAUGCCAACAGCUUUGCUGGGGCUCAGUAUAGGGAGGCGUGCUUUGGGUGAUCCACAUGGAGUUCAAUCCACAGCUGCCAUGCAACAAGAUGCUCAGGCCGUAGGUCCUGCGUGCAACACAAACGAUCCGAAUGUUCCAUCUCCAUGCCCACCUCCACUAUCACCUCUCUCGCCAUGAAACCUGGGCAAAAACAAAGCUAUGCUCAAGGCCUUCGCUUCCUUUGCUCCAGCAGGGGAUUUUGAGCCAUAUAUGGUUACACUAUUAGGUGAUAAAGCUAUACGUUUGUACCACGAGAACUAUGACAAGUAAACGUAUAGAUUAACCAACAUCUGAAUUGUGACGAGAAUUCGUACGUUCUUUCAGAGAAUGUUGUACCUUGUGUUAUAUGGUGCAUGUACCUCUAUAUAGUUGUGUUUGAAUAAAACGAAGACAUGAAUUUGGCGAGCCGACA
Molecule: long non-coding RNA, 618 nt
Organism: Oryza sativa Japonica Group (Japanese rice)
Lineage: Eukaryota; Viridiplantae; Streptophyta; Magnoliopsida; Poales; Poaceae
Source: RefSeq, a predicted model, not a curated record